Ribosomal RNA from Pogona vitticeps (central bearded dragon), 126 nucleotides. The record is from Ensembl. NCBI's taxonomy places the organism in Eukaryota, Metazoa, Chordata, Lepidosauria, Squamata, Agamidae.
CAUUGGGGCCAGAUGGAGACUCAGACAUCCACCCCAGCAUAUGUCUACCUUUGGAAGCUAAGCAGGCUCAACCUGGGUUAGUACUUGGAUGGGAGACCACCAAGAAACACGAGGAAGCCUCCAAGU